This 372-nucleotide ribosomal RNA is filed under the name Wagneriana hassleri. RNAcentral describes it as "partial small subunit ribosomal RNA". The record is from RNAcentral. Lineage: Eukaryota; Metazoa; Arthropoda; Arachnida; Araneae; Araneidae.
AACUAGGAUUAGAUACCCUAUUAUAUUUAAAUAAUUUUAGGUAGUACUGACUUUUCAAGAAAACCUAUGCAGUUUGGCGGCAUUUAAUCAAUUUAGAGGAACCUGUCUUUUAAUCGAUACCCCACGAUAAUUCUUACUUUUAUUAAAAUCUUAUAUACCUCCAUCUUAAGGAUUAAUAUUUACAUUCUCCCCUAAAUAGAUAUCUAAAAAGUUAGGUAAAGGUGUAGACUAUAUAAAAGAUAAGGUGGGUUACUAUAAAUCUAAUUUAAGGAUAUGUAAUAAAAUUUACAUUGAAAAAGGAUUUAUUAGUAAUAAAAGAAUAUUAAUCUUCCAUGAAACUGAUAAACAAUGUGCACACAUCGCCCGUCGCUC